CGGAGCGUAGCUCAAUUUGGAUAGAGCGCCCAUGACGUCUGGGAGGUUGCAGGUUCGAGUCCUGACGCUCCGACCA
This 76-nucleotide transfer RNA is filed under the name Ignavibacteria bacterium. Its description in RNAcentral is "tRNA-Val". It matches the Rfam family "tRNA". From Rfam's summary of the family: Transfer RNA (tRNA) molecules are approximately 80 nucleotides in length. Their secondary structure includes four short double-helical elements and three loops (D, anti-codon, and T loops). The record is from RNAcentral. Lineage: Bacteria; Pseudomonadati; Ignavibacteriota; Ignavibacteria.